AUUGAACGCUGGCGGAAUGCUUUACACAUGCAAGUCGAACGGCAGCACGGGGCAACCUGGUGGCGAGUGGCGAACGGGUGAGUAAUACAUCGGAACGUGCCCAGUCGUGGGGGAUAACGUAGCGAAAGCUACGCUAAUACCGCAUACGAUCUACGGAUGAAAGCGGGGGACUCGCAAGAGCCUCGCGCGAUUGGAGCGGCCGAUGGCAGAUUAGGUAGUUGGUGGGGUAAAGGCUCACCAAGCCUGCGAUCUGUAGCUGGUCUGAGAGGACGACCAGCCACACUGGAACUGAGACACGGUCCAGACUCCUACGGGAGGCAGCAGUGGGGAAUUUUGGACAAUGGGCGCAAGCCUGAUCCAGCCAUGCCGCGUGAGUGAAGAAGGCCU
This 387-nucleotide ribosomal RNA is filed under the name uncultured bacterium. RNAcentral describes it as "bacterial SSU rRNA". It matches the Rfam family "Bacterial small subunit ribosomal RNA", at positions 29 to 417 of the family's 1533-position model. The record is from RNAcentral.